RNAcentral lists this ribosomal RNA (650 nucleotides) under Terribacillus sp. AE1B 21. Its description in RNAcentral is "bacterial SSU rRNA". It matches the Rfam family "Bacterial small subunit ribosomal RNA", at positions 70 to 703 of the family's 1533-position model. Lineage: Bacteria; Bacillati; Bacillota; Bacilli; Caryophanales; Bacillaceae. RNAcentral also lists the same sequence under 2 other names. The record is from RNAcentral.
CCCCUUCGGGGUGAUUCUGGUGGAAUGAGCGGCGGACGGGUGAGUAACACGUGGGCAACCUGCCUGUAAGACUGGGAUAACUUCGGGAAACCGGAGCUAAUACCGGAUAGUAUUUCCUUUCUCCUGAUUGGAAAUGGAAAGACGGUUUCGGCUGUCACUUACAGAUGGGCCCGCGGUGCAUUAGCUAGUUGGUGGGGUAAUGGCCCACCAAGGCGACGAUGCAUAGCCGACCUGAGAGGGUGAUCGGCCACACUGGGACUGAGACACGGCCCAGACUCCUACGGGAGGCAGCAGUAGGGAAUCUUCCGCAAUGGACGAAAGUCUGACGGAGCAACGCCGCGUGAGCGAUGAAGGCCUUCGGGUCGUAAAGCUCUGUUGUUAGGGAAGAACAAGUACGAGAGUAACUGCUCGUACCUUGACGGUACCUAACCAGAAAGCCCCGGCUAACUACGUGCCAGCAGCCGCGGUAAUACGUAGGGGGCAAGCGUUGUCCGGAAUUAUUGGGCGUAAAGGGCUCGUAGGCGGUUUCUUAAGUCUGAUGUGAAAGCCCACAGCUCAACUGUGGAGGGUCAUUGGAAACUGGGGAACUUGAGUGCAGAAGAGGAGAGUGGAAUUCCACGUGUAGCGGUGAAAUGCGUAGAUAUGUGGAG